CCAGGGGGUGAGGCAGGGCAGCCUCUCACACUGGGCAGCUGCUGAGGGCAGAGAGCACUUGCCUGUGGAGUCAGUCAGGGAUGGACACACUGGGAUAGUCAGCCAGCUGAGAAUUCUGGUUAUUCUAAGUAGUUUGGACAGUUAUUUUCAGGAAUUACUCAAACAAUUAAGCAGUACAGAUGGCAGUUUUGUACUUGGAAACUUCAGGCCCCUGCUGUCACCCUGCUAAUUACAACUGCAUUCCCAGUUGUGGUAAAUGGCCACGUCCCUCAUAACUGCACCUGAAGAGCCACAACUUGCCAGUGAGUGGAAGGUGGUAUCAUUCCAGAGAACAGAGGAAACCAGAACUGGGCAAGACUGAGAUGUGAGGUAAUGAGGAACCGUGUGCCAGGAGCUCCUGAGAACACGGACAAGAGAACUGACUGCGUGGGAAGAUGAGCAGCCCUGAAGAUCCCAGAGCAGAGGGAGCAGAAAGCAAGUCAGCUUCAUGAGACAGCAAACAGGAUGUCCUUGGAGAAAGGCUGCAAGGAGAGGCAUGUAUUUGCACUCUGUUGCUUGGAAUGUUACAACCCCAGCUUCUCUUGAGGGUCUCUUUCUGAAAAUUCUACUUAUCCAAUAAAGAAUAUUAUG
Molecule: long non-coding RNA, 630 nt
Organism: Pipra filicauda (Wire-tailed manakin)
Lineage: Eukaryota; Metazoa; Chordata; Aves; Passeriformes; Pipridae
Exons: 4
Source: RefSeq, a predicted model, not a curated record